GGGGCUGGGGCUCAGUGGUAGAGCACUUGCCAAGCAUGUGUACUAUACUGGAUUCGACCAGUAUAUUACACAUUUAUAUAAAUAAAUGAAUAAAGUAAAGGUCCAUCAAUAUCUAAAAACAUAUAUUUUUUUAAUAUUUAUUUUUUAGUUGUAGUUGGACACAACACCUUUAUUUCACUUGUUUUAAUUUUUGUACGGGGUGCUGAGGAUCGAACCCAGGGUCUCG
This 226-nucleotide transfer RNA is filed under the name Marmota monax (woodchuck). RNAcentral's name for it is "tRNA.Ala". Lineage: Eukaryota; Metazoa; Chordata; Mammalia; Rodentia; Sciuridae. The record is from RNAcentral.